This 72-nucleotide transfer RNA is filed under the name Nesoptilotis leucotis (White-eared honeyeater). RNAcentral's name for it is "tRNA-Glu". It matches the Rfam family "tRNA". Rfam says of the family: Transfer RNA (tRNA) molecules are approximately 80 nucleotides in length. Their secondary structure includes four short double-helical elements and three loops (D, anti-codon, and T loops). The record is from RNAcentral. Lineage: Eukaryota; Metazoa; Chordata; Aves; Passeriformes; Meliphagidae.
GUUCCUGUAGUUAAAGUCCCAUAACGGUGGCUUUUCAUGCCAUAGGUCCUGGAGCAGACCCAGGCAGGAAUU